This 429-nucleotide ribosomal RNA is filed under the name bacterium. Its description in RNAcentral is "partial 16S ribosomal RNA". It matches the Rfam family "Bacterial small subunit ribosomal RNA", at positions 355 to 776 of the family's 1533-position model. The record is from RNAcentral.
UAGGGAAUCUUCGGCAAUGGGGGCAACCCUGACCGAGCUACGCCGCGUGAGUGAAGAAGGUUUUCGGAUCGUAAAGCUCUGUUGUAAGAGAAGAACGUGUGUGAGAGUGGAAAGUUCACACAGUGACGGUAACUUACCAGAAAGGGACGGCUAACUACGUGCCAGCAGCCGCGGUAAUACGUAGGUCCCGAGCGUUGUCCGGAUUUAUUGGGCGUAAAGCGAGCGCAGGCGGUUUAAUAAGUCUGAAGUUAAAGGCAGUGGCUUAACCAUUGUUCGCUUUGGAAACUGUUAAACUUGAGUGCAGAAGGGGAGAGUGGAAUUCCAUGUGUAGCGGUGAAAUGCGUAGAUAUAUGGAGGAACACCGGUGGCGAAAGCGGCUCUCUGGUCUGUAACUGACGCUGAGGCUCGAAAGCGUGGGGAGCAAACAGG